AGUCCCGUAGUGUAGUGGCCUAUCAUCGUGCCCUUUGGAGGCGCGGACCCCGGUUCAAAUCCGGGCGGGACUA
This 73-nucleotide transfer RNA is filed under the name Candidatus Woesearchaeota archaeon. Its description in RNAcentral is "tRNA-Gln". It matches the Rfam family "tRNA". Rfam says of the family: Transfer RNA (tRNA) molecules are approximately 80 nucleotides in length. Their secondary structure includes four short double-helical elements and three loops (D, anti-codon, and T loops). Further hydrogen bonds mediate the characteristic L-shaped molecular structure. tRNAs have two regions of fundamental functional importance: the anti-codon, which is responsible for specific mRNA codon recognition, and the 3' end, to which the tRNAs corresponding amino acid is attached (by aminoacyl-tRNA synthetases). tRNAs cope with the degeneracy of the genetic code in two manners: having more than one tRNA (with a specific anti-codon) for a particular amino acid; and 'wobble' base-pairing, i.e. permitting non-standard base-pairing at the 3rd anti-codon position. Lineage: Archaea; Nanobdellati; Candidatus Woesearchaeota. The record is from RNAcentral.